AUGGCAGCUAAUUCUCAAGCUACAGCACAUACAACAACAGCUACAACUGAUGGGAGCCUGACCAUGAAGCUGUUGAAGAUGAAGAAGGACAAAGAAAGGCAGAUGGCAGCUAGAAGAGAUGCAGCACUGGAGGCCAUGAAUGAGUUGGCAGAGAAAAGAGAAGAGGAGGUAGAAGCAAAAAGGCAAGAAAUUGCUCUCAGGAAAGCAGAGCAGGCAGCAAGAAGAAGAAGAGCAGUAAAAGACAAGAAGGCUGAGGAAACAACAGCAAAGCAGCAAGCUACAGCAGCAAGGAAAGCUGCAUUGCAACAAUAG
Molecule: ribosomal RNA, 312 nt
Filed under: Triticum aestivum (bread wheat)
Lineage: Eukaryota; Viridiplantae; Streptophyta; Magnoliopsida; Poales; Poaceae
Description: partial small subunit ribosomal RNA
Source: RNAcentral